UACGAAGGGUGCUAGCGUUACUCGGAAUUACUGGGCGUAAAGAGCGCGUAGGCGGUUUAGUAAGUUGGGAGUGAAAUCCCAGAGCUCAACUCUGGAAUUGCUUUCAAAACUACUAAGCUAGAGAUUGGUAGGGGACAGUGGAAUUCCUAGUGUAGAGGUGAAAUUCGUAGAUAUUAGGAGGAACACCGGUGGCGAAGGCGACUGUCUGGACCAAGUCUGACGCUGUGGCGCGAGAGCGUGGGGAGCAAACAGG
This 253-nucleotide ribosomal RNA is filed under the name uncultured bacterium. Its description in RNAcentral is "partial 16S ribosomal RNA". It matches the Rfam family "Bacterial small subunit ribosomal RNA", at positions 524 to 776 of the family's 1533-position model. The record is from RNAcentral.